CUACGGGUUGCUCCAGUGGGGAAUAUUGCACAAUGGGCGCAAGCCUGAUGCAGCCAUGCCGCGUGUAUGAAGAAGGCCUUCGGGUUGUAAAGUACUUUCAGCGGGGAGGAAGGGAGUAAAGUUAAUACCUUUGCUCAUUGACGUUACCCGCAGAAGAAGCACCGGCUAACUCCGUGCCAGCAGCCGCGGUGAAUACGGAGGGUGCAAGCGUUAAUCGGAAUUACUGGGCGUAAAGCGCACGCAGGCGGUUUGUUAAGUCAGAUGUGAAAUCCCCGGGCUCAACCUGGGAACUGCAUCUGAUACUGGCGAGCUUGAGUCUCGUAGAGGGGGGUAGAAUUCCAGGUGUAGCGGUGAAAUGCGUAGAGAUCUGGAGGAAUACCGGUGGCGAAGGCGGCCCCCUGGACGAAGACUGACGCUCAGGUGCGAAAGCGUGGGGAGCAAACAGGAUUAGAUACCCUGGUAGUC
This 465-nucleotide ribosomal RNA is filed under the name uncultured bacterium. RNAcentral describes it as "partial 16S ribosomal RNA". It matches the Rfam family "Bacterial small subunit ribosomal RNA", at positions 339 to 795 of the family's 1533-position model. The record is from RNAcentral.